Molecule: long non-coding RNA, 643 nt
Filed under: Malus domestica (apple)
Lineage: Eukaryota; Viridiplantae; Streptophyta; Magnoliopsida; Rosales; Rosaceae
Description: long non-coding RNA (MDOM_LNC009392)
Source: RNAcentral
CGUGGCAAAUGCUAUUACUAGUACUGGCCUUCAAUUUAACAACCUUCAUGUUUCAGAUAGAACGUUAACAAAUGCUAUCUAUAAAGCUUAUUUCUUUCUUUCCAAAAAAAAAAAAGCUUAUUUCUUUGAUUGGAUAAGGAAUGAUUGUGACCGAGGUCACUCUAUUUAAUAUUUUUUUAAUUUAAAAAAAAAUCUUAGAUUUUAUGUCAAGAAUAUUUUACAUCUCGUUCAUUAGAGAAUUUUUUGGUAAAAAAAUGUAAAAUCUUAAGCAUUUUACAUCUCUGGUUAAAGAUGCUCUUAGAUGAGUUGAGUUGACCAAGUAACUUUUCAAUGUAACCUAAUAACACCGUCAUGUGGUGUUACAAAUUAAUUAUAAUUAUUUUGAGUACAAAGAUAUAUUUUACAUUAAGCGGAGGGGAAGUUAAGCUAAAUUAUACAGUGAACAACCUAAUUUGAUAUCGAAUUCGCCAUCUACAAGAUUCAAACCUAAGACCUCUCACUUACAAGUGAAGAGGAAUACCACCAGACCGUAGUAUUGAGUGACUAAUGAUAAUUAUUAUACCAUGAGUAUAUGUAUUAAUAUUAUAACAAGGAUAAAUGGUAAGGAGACACUCUCUGAAGGUGGCAGAGAGUCGUUUUUUUU